UGAGUAGGCGGUUACAUAUGUCAGAUGUAAAAGGCACAGGCUUAACUUGUGUUAGCAUUUGAAACUGUGUGACUUGAGUGCAGGAGAGGUAAGUGGAAUUCCUAGUGUAGCGGUGAAAUGCGUAGAUAUUAGGAGGAACACCAGUGGCGAAGGCGACUUACUGGACUGUAACUGACGCUGAGUCACGAAAGCGUGGGUAGCAAACAG
This 207-nucleotide ribosomal RNA is filed under the name uncultured Eubacteriales bacterium. Its description in RNAcentral is "uncultured Clostridiales bacterium partial 16S ribosomal RNA". It matches the Rfam family "Bacterial small subunit ribosomal RNA", at positions 568 to 775 of the family's 1533-position model. The record is from RNAcentral. Lineage: Bacteria; Bacillati; Bacillota; Clostridia; Eubacteriales.